UCUCUAUGCGGUGUUAGCCGCCGCGGUAAUACAGAGGGUGCAAGCGUUAAUCGGAUUUACUGGGCGUAAAGCGCGCGUAGGCGGCUAAUUAAGUCAAAUGUGAAAUCCCCGAGCUUAACUUGGGAAUUGCAUUCGAUACUGGUUAGCUAGAGUGUGGGAGAGGAUGGUAGAAUUCCAGGUGUAGCGGUGAAAUGCGUAGAGAUCUGGAGGAAUACCGAUGGCGAAGGCAGCCAUCUGGCCUAACACUGACGCUGAGGUGCGAAAGCAUGGGGAGCAAAACAGGAUUAGAUACCCUGGUAGUCCAUGCCGUAAACGAUGUCUACUAGCCGUUGGGGCCUUUGAGGCUUUAGUGGCGCAGCUAACGCGAUAAGUAGACCGCCUGGGGAGUACGGUCGCAAGACUAAAACUCAAAGGAAUUGACGGG
Molecule: ribosomal RNA, 424 nt
Filed under: uncultured bacterium
Lineage: Bacteria
Description: bacterial SSU rRNA
Rfam family: Bacterial small subunit ribosomal RNA
Source: RNAcentral